UCGUUUGAGCUCCUUCCUGGCUGAGGAUCGUGAGCUACAAUGUGAAUGGACUGAUGUCUCCAGCGAGAUCGCUGCGCACCUUCUUGGACUUGUUUGACGCAGACAUCAUCUGCCUCCAGAAACAGGCAGGAGCUCACGGCGGAUAUUGCCACAGCGUAAGGAUACGAAUCCUUCUUCUCUUGCACGCCCACCGUGAAGAAAGGCUGCCUCGGCUACUCAGGUAGGGAGUUUGCGAUUUAGAACUUUUCUUCAUCCUUGGCAUUGGAUUAGAGCGCAUUGCUGGUCAGGUGUGGCUACGUUUUGCAAGGUGGAGUGUGGCAACAAUGUAGCGUUGCCUGUGGCUGCCGAGGAAGGCUUUACGGGUCUCUUGACUAGUGCCAAAGCCGAGCCUGAUACCAGCCGAAAUGUUUCCAAGCCCGCUUUUACACAGGAAACGGGCAGCAGGAAAUUGCAGAGGCUGUCACAAAGCAGAUUGACAGGGUUUUGCUAUCAAAGGCAUGAAUCUUCUGACAAAAUGAGCUGCACAGAGGUCGCAGUGCAUGGGCAGAGCUCCAGCCUUGCGGAUGGAAUCCAGCAAUCACCUGAAUUAUGUGACAAUAACAACUGCUCAGAGGUUGCAGCUUGCCAGUCUGAUGGAUAUGUCAGAUGAAACACCGACGGAAAGCUCUCAGCAAAGCUUGGAAAAAUCGGCAGCAGGCUGGGAAAGACUCAAGAGCUUGAUGUCGCGAAAUCUUCCAUUGUGCAAGGGACAUGGUGAGCCUUGUGUCGGAGUUAAGAAGGCUGGCCCCAAUCUUGGCCGUGGUUUCUACGUCUGUGCUCGAGCAAAGGGCCCAGCUUCCAAUCCUGAAGCAAGGUGCGAUCAUUUUCAGUGGUCUUCGUCCAGGACGUGAAAGAAGUGAAAAGUCGCUUCUAUAUCUAAGCUAUUAACGUGCAUUCGAGUACACCGAUUGUUA
Molecule: RNA transcript, 953 nt
Organism: Selaginella moellendorffii
Lineage: Eukaryota; Viridiplantae; Streptophyta; Lycopodiopsida; Selaginellales; Selaginellaceae
Exons: 4
Source: RefSeq, a predicted model, not a curated record